Anopheles merus is the source of this 2176-nucleotide long non-coding RNA. RefSeq lists it as uncharacterized. The transcript is spliced from 3 exons. NCBI's taxonomy places the organism in Eukaryota, Metazoa, Arthropoda, Insecta, Diptera, Culicidae. The record is from RefSeq and is a predicted model, not a curated record.
ACACACACACACACACACACACACACACACACACACACACACACACACACACUAUCUUUUCUUUUCUUCAGGAAAUCGCACUAUUUGCGGAAGCAGUUUAUCGCAUUCUAGAAAGGCCUAUUUAUAUUGUCUACAGACCGAUAUUGGAUUCUAUGGCAGUACCUUACAGCCGGAUAAAUAAGUUAAAAUUAAUUUUGGUUUAAGAAACACUGAUUGGCGAAAAUGUAUCGCCAAACAGAUUGUUACGCGACAAAAUAGAAUGAUAGGCGCAUGCGUAGUUGUCUGUCAGUGUCGACGUUGUUCCGUACGAAUGGGUUUCUUCGGGGUACUUGCUGAACUUUAGAAAGCCACCAGUCAGCUGUUUUGUAUGACGGUAUGUGUUUUUAAAUCCAGACAUUUUACGAUGCUCUCAACUGUUUGUGAUGUUUCUUACGCACGUUUUUGUUGCCACGCAAACAAACAUACCUACACGAUUUGUCCAAAAAUACGCUUCAUUGCGGUUCUCUGAAAACAUUAUCAAAAUCGUCUUUGUGUUAAUUGUAAUAUUAUGACAAAAGAGUAUGCAUUCGAACACCAAUCGCCAUGCAUCAAAUGCUUGGAAAAUAGGAAGUUUUUUUUUUAAAUAUUUUAAUCUAUCUGUAAAAUUGAUUUUGAAUGCAUAAUUCCGAUCUCCGCUCAAGCAAAAUUCCUAUUAAAGCUGGGUUGUUUUAUUCCCAUUCAUUUGUAACUUUUUUUUAACUUUUAACACGUUUGCUCCAUACUCCUUUUAGAAAUGAAAAAUCCAACACUUUCCUCUCUUACGAUGAUGACUACCGGAGUGGCUACGCUAGGGUCGUCAGUACAAACACCAUUAAGUUUCGUUACCGUACCUUCUAUUCCGAAACCAUUCUCAUGCUAUGUGUUGCGACACAGGCGAAUCCGUCUCCAUUCGGGUUUCGCUCGGCAUGUGAUGCCUGGCUAUAGCUAUACUCGCUGCUCGUGGGUGGCUGAGGAUUCCCGAACACUGUCAGCAUUUCAUCGCCUCGUGCUUCCGGAAAUAAGACAAUCGAAUUCCGCAGUCUGCAAAGUUCUGACCCGGAUUGUGACAUUUGCGUUUGCGUUCAGGCUGAACAUUAUACAGGUUUUGCUUAGUUUGUAUGUUGUCGAGUAUAUAAAUUCAUAGCAUUUUUCAUCCUCAUCGGGAAUGAUUGUUCAAGGUACCUUUUAAGUGACACAGUCUCAUUCAACUGUACAAUAGCUGUAAACCAACUGCAAUUGAAUAUACAUUAUAGUGUAGUGCAGUGUAAUAUUGUGUUUAAUAAUGAAGAUCAGUGUUGUUAAUUUGUUAGCGCAAAGAAAAUUAUACCACAUGAUGCCACCAUUUCCCUGUUGCUCUAAGUAUACGGGCUCAAAUUAUGUCUUUCAAAAAUCAAUGAAAUUAAAUCAUGUUUCAAAACAGGACACUGACAGUGUGGCCAGUGCUAAUGUACAGCGAUGCUCGAAAGGCGAUGAGUUCUUCCGAGCGAUAAUUCAUUUACUAUCUGUUAAUGGUUGCCCACUGAUGGACAAAAAAAGUAAAACAGUUUUGCCAGCCGGUAGCUGUUGUUAGUGCUGUGGGAAUUUGUUCGGUCUUGAGAGGUGCUCAACAAAACACAAACGUCAAAUGCUGAGAGCUGUGUGAAGUUUUUAGCUAUUUUCUCUGGUUUUCCUACUUUUCCUCUCACUCACAUUCAGUCGAUAUUAUUGAGCUGCGGGGUAGCUGGCAGAUGUGUUGCAUUUCACGGGUCGCGUUGAGAAUGUGCGUAUGUUUGGUUGCUUGGCUUCGUAUUUUACUUUGCUUGCGCUUACCUGCUUCAGAGGAUAAUCCUCUGAAAACCAAAGUCCCCGCGACAUAACCGUGUGUUAACAAUUAUUUUAGUUUUUGUCCACUCGCUGAACAUUUUCCGUGUCGAAAUCGCUCUGUUCAUACUGCGUUUUAAAAUAAUAUUUCAGUGUAAGCUUCUAUCAGUGUCGUUCGAAAAUCUAAUUAUUUUCAUAAUCAAUGUGAAACACUUAAAGAAGCUCUCUGAAUUGCCCCUCUGAAGGGUGCAUAAUGGAUUUCAUCCCUCCCUCACAAGUUCAUGAGCGGUGGGAGUGCAUGGCAACCCGAGGUAUUUAGCGAAAUUUUUAUCAAAAAUCACCUCCCCAAAUUCAAAAU